Molecule: ribosomal RNA, 88 nt
Filed under: uncultured fungus
Lineage: Eukaryota; Fungi
Description: partial 5.8S ribosomal RNA
Rfam family: 5.8S ribosomal RNA
About the family: 5.8S ribosomal RNA (5.8S rRNA) is a component of the large subunit of the eukaryotic ribosome.
Source: RNAcentral
GAUUGCAGAAUUCAGUGGAAUCAUCGAAUCUUUGAACGCACAUUGCGCCCCUUGGUAUCCCGAGGGGCAUGCCUGUUCGAGCGUCAUU